This is a long non-coding RNA of Prunus persica (peach), 440 nucleotides long. RefSeq lists it as uncharacterized. The transcript is spliced from 3 exons. Lineage: Eukaryota; Viridiplantae; Streptophyta; Magnoliopsida; Rosales; Rosaceae. The record is from RefSeq and is a predicted model, not a curated record.
CGUUUCGUUCAAUAUUGACUCCUGCUCUUCUUCCAAGCUAUACUCAGGUAAGUUUUUCUGGUCUCUCGCUUUGCAUUACAAUUGAGGUAGGGCUUGCAGUUGCAGAGAGAUAUAGAAGGAGGUGAACCAAAAUAUAUUCUUGGGUUAUUGCCUUUCAGCGACAACUAUAUAUUUUGGGUGGCUUCAGGCUCUACCAUCGCCGUAGAGAUUGAAAGGAGGUUUCUUGGGUGUGGCUAGAGGAUGUGGGUGGCAACACUUGGAUGUGUUUGCUUGGUUUGCUAAACUCGAUGGCAACACUUGGCUUUCAUUUUACAAAUUUCAUUUUGGAGCAGAGUUCCAAUUCGUAGAAGUUCCAAAAAGGGAGAAGCUGAAAAUAAUGAAAUCAGAAACAGAGAGAGAAGAAACGAAAAGGGAUGGUGAAGAGAGAGGAAGAAAAGAGA